UGAGCCUUUAAUCUAUUUUUAUUUGAUUUUUGUAUGAUGAGAGAUAGGGGUCUAGAUUCAUUCUUUGAUAUAUAAUUACCAGUUUCCCCAGCAUCAUUUAUUGAAGAAACUGUCCUUUCCACACUGUAUGUUCUUGGCACCUUUGUUAAAAUGAGUUGACUGUAGACCAGUGCUGGGAUCGGGCUGCGCCGUGUUAUGGCCCUGUACCACACCGAGGAGCGCGGCCAGCCUUGCUCACAGAAUUAUCGCCUCUUCUUCAAGAAUGUAACUGGUCACUACAUUUCCCCCUUUCAUGACAUUCCUCUGAAAGUGAACUCUAAAGAGGAAAAUGGCAUUCCUACGAAGAAAGCACGAAAUGAUGAAUAUGAGACUCUGUUUAAUAUGAUUGUAGAAAUACCUCGGUGGACAAAUGCUAAAACGGAGAUUGCCACCAAAGAGCCACUGAAUCCCAUUAAACAGUGUGUAAAGGAUGGAAAACUACGCUAUGUGGCGAAUAUCUUCCCUUACAAGGCUUAUGUAUGGAAUUAUGGUACCCUCCCUCAGACUUGGGAAGAUCCCCCUGAAAAAGAUAAGAGCACGAACUGCUUUGGAGAUAAUGAUCCUAUUGAUGUUUGUGAAAUAGGCUCAAAGAUUCUUUCUUGUGGAGAAGUUUUUCAUGUGAAGAUCCUCGGAAUCUUGGCUCUUAUUGAUGAAGGUGAGACAGAUUGGAAAUUAAUUGCUAUCAAUGUGAAUGAUCCUGAUGCCUCAAAGUUUCAUGAUGGGGUCUCACUAUGUUGCCCAGAAUGGUCUCGAACUCCUAGGCUCAAGCAAUUCUCCCACCUCAGCUCCCAAGUAGCUGGGAUUAGGGGCAUGCCAUGGCACCUGGCUCCGGGCCGAAUUUGACAACAGAUAUUUUUAGCAACGUUUUAUUGAAUUCUUUCAGAACAUUCAAAUUACCUUCAUAAAGACAAAAACUUUUUUGUACUCAUAAAUUCACUGGUGUAUGUAAUAUUUAAUUACAUCUUGUAAUUAUAAUAAAAGAUACAGUUAGCAUAAAUGGUUUGGGAUUAAACACACCUGAUGCUUGGUAAAGCUAAAACUUAACUGAUGGAAACAAAAGUGUGGGCUUCCUUCUAGAGUAUUCUGCCAGAGGCAGCAUACAUAAUAUGUGAACAUGACUCAGAAUGUUCUACAGAAGUAGAGUCUUUACUAAUCAGUCCAGUAAGUUGAUCAAGUAGAGUUCGAUUAAAAGAGCUUAAUUUGUAAUCAAAAUUAGAAACUGAAAUAGAUUUAGCCUGAUUACAUAUAGAGCUUUUCCAGAUUAUCCUAACUUUAUUGGAUUAGUUCAUCUUUAAAAUUCAUACAAAAUUAAUUUCACAAGUGGGAAUAAAUGACUACUAGAGAAUUGCCACUUUUCUUAAAAUAACAUAGAUUGUAAAAAAUGUAUCUAAUCAAAGAUGUCCUACAAAUAGAUAGUGUUGAUGGUUGCACAAAAUUGUAGACAUACUUAAUGUAACUGAAUUAUACACUUAAAAUGCUUAACAUGGCAAAUUUUAUGUU
This is an RNA transcript of Cercocebus atys (sooty mangabey), 1539 nucleotides long. It is a transcript of the gene named inorganic pyrophosphatase 2, mitochondrial pseudogene, with no coding region annotated. The record is from RefSeq and is a predicted model, not a curated record. The transcript has a single exon. Lineage: Eukaryota; Metazoa; Chordata; Mammalia; Primates; Cercopithecidae.